UACUAAGCGGAGGAAAAGAAACUAACUAGGAUUCCCUUAGUAGCGGCGAGCGAACAGGGAAAAGCCCAGCACCGAAUCCCGCUGUCGGAAACGGCGGCCGGGAAAUGUGGUGUUUGGAAGGGUCCGUUAUCCCGAGAAUAAGCAGCGCGUCCAAGUCCAUCUUGAACGGGGCCAUUACCCAUAGAGGGUGCCAGGCCCGUAGCGACCGCUGCUGUUUUCGGGAGGAUCUCUUCCGAGAGUCGGGUUGCUUGAGAGUGCAGCCCUAAGUGGGUGGUAAACUCCAUCUAAGGCUAAAUAUAACCACGAGACCGAUAGCGAACAAGUACCGUGAGGGAAAGUUGAAAAGAACUUUGAAGAGAGAGUUCAAUAGUACGUGAAACCGUUCAGGGGUAAACCUGAGAAACCCGAAAGUUCGAAAGGGGAGAUUCAUUCGCGUUUCGAAGUACGGCGUAAUGCGGUGCGACGAACGACGUUCGCGUCGUUCGCGUUUUCCGCGUGACGAUCCGCGAUCGAACGCGUGCACUUCUCCCCUAGUAGGACGUCGCGAUCCGUUGGGUGUCGGUCUAGGGCCCGCGGUGGAGCCCGCGAGCACGGUUCGCCGUUGUUCGCGGACCCGCGGUGUUUCCCGGCCGACUCGCUCGACGGUCUAACAACGACGUGAGGCCGCGAUUUAUUCGCGUUCGACUAGCGGCAAGCUCGUCUUUCGAAUCGGUGAUCGGACCUAGCGCCGAUCCCGAUCGGCGGCGGCUGUGGCCGUUAUGUUCUCGAACAGACCUCGUACGUCGAUCGGCGACGCUAUAGCUUUGGGUACUUUCAGGACCCGUCUUGAAACACGGACCAAGGAGUCUAGCAUGUGCGCGAGUCAUUGGGACACGACUAAACCUAAAGGCGUAAUGAAAGUAAAAGUCGGCCUAGCGCCGACCGAGGGAAGAUGGGCGAUCGUUCGCGGUCGCCCCGCACUCCCGGGGCGUCUCGUUCUCAUUGCGAGAAGAGGCGCACCAAGAGCGUACACGCUGGGACCCGAAAGAUGGUGAACUAUGCCUGGUCAGGACGAAGUCAGGGGAAACCCUGAUGGAGGUCCGUAGCGAUUCUGACGUGCAAAUCGAUCGUCGGAACUGGGUAUAGGGGCGAAAGACCAAUCGAACUAUCUAGUAGCUGGUUCCCUCCGAAGUUUCCCUCAGGAUAGCUGGCGCUCGUAGCAUACGAGUCUCAUCCGGUAAAGCGAAUGAUUAGAGGCAUUGGGGUCGAAACGACCUCAACCUAUUCUCAAACUUUAAAUGGGUGAGAUCUCCGGCUUGCUCGAACUUGAAGCCGCGAGAUAUCGGAUCAGAGUGCCAAGUGGGCCAUUUUUGGUAAGCAGAACGGCGCUGUGGAUCCGAAGUUUCCCUCAGGAUAGCUGGCGCUCGUAGCAUACGAGUCUCAUCCGGUAAAGCGAAUGAUUAGAGGCAUUGGGGUCGAAACGACCUCAACCUAUUCUCAAACUUUAAAUGGGUGAGAUCUCCGGCUUGCUCGAACUUGAAGCCGCGAGAUAUCGGAUCAGAGUGCCAAGUGGGCCAUUUUUGGUAAGCAGAACUGGCGCUGUGGGAUGAACCAAACGCCGAGUUAAAGCGCCUAAAUCGACGCUUAUGGGAUACCAUGAAAGGCGUUGGUAACUUAAGACAGCAGGACGGUGGCCAUGGAAGUCGGAAUCCGCCAAGGAGUGUGUAACAACUCACCUGCCGAAGUUACUAGCCCUGAAAAUGGAUGGCGCUGAAGCGUCGUGCUUAUACUCGGCCGUCAGCGGCAUGUGCGAUCGUCUCGAACGGUCAUGAAGCCCUGACGAGUAGGAGGGUCGCGGCGGUGUGCGCAGAAGGGCUGGCCGUGAGGCCGUCUGGAGCCGCCGUCGGUGCAGAUCUUGGUGGUAGUAGCAAAUACUCCGGCGAGGACCUGGAGGACUAACGUGGAGAAGGGUUUCGUGUGAACAGCCGUUGCACACGAGUCAGUCGAUCCUAAGCCCUAGGCGAAAGCCGAUGUUGAUGCGGUGUUGUUUCAUUUGAAAAAAUUUAUUUUUAAUUAAAUAGACGCACCCGUUGGGCGAAAGGGAAUCCGGUUCCUAUUCCGGAACCCGGCAGCGGAACCGUCUCCAAAUCGGGCCCUCGCAAGAGAGUUCGUCGGGGCAACCCAACAUGACCCGGAGACGCCGUCGGGAGAUCCGGGAAGAGUUUUCUUUUCUGCAUGAGCGUUCGAGUUCCAUGGAAUCCUCUAGCAGGGAGAUAUGGUUUGGAACGCGAAGAGCACCGCAGUUGCGGCGGUGUCCGGAUCUUCCCCUCGGACCUUGAAAAUCCGGGAGAGGGCCACGUGGAAAUGUCGCGCCGGCUCGUACCCAUAUCCGCAGCAGGUCUCCAAGGUAAGAGCCUCUAGUCGAUAGAUAUGAG
Molecule: ribosomal RNA, 2414 nt
Filed under: Mycetina amabilis
Lineage: Eukaryota; Metazoa; Arthropoda; Insecta; Coleoptera; Endomychidae
Description: eukaryotic LSU rRNA
Rfam family: Eukaryotic large subunit ribosomal RNA
Source: RNAcentral